RNAcentral lists this ribosomal RNA (468 nucleotides) under uncultured bacterium. RNAcentral's name for it is "partial 16S ribosomal RNA". It matches the Rfam family "Bacterial small subunit ribosomal RNA", at positions 28 to 507 of the family's 1533-position model. The record is from RNAcentral.
GAUGAACGCUGGCGGCGUGCUUAACACAUGCAAGUCGAACGGUGAAGGCGGAGCUUGCUCUGCUGGAUCAGUGGCGAACGGGUGAGUAACACGUGAGCAAUCUGCCCCUGACUCUGGGAUAAGCGCUGGAAACGGCGUCUAAUACUGGAUACGAGCUGCGAAGGCAUCUUCAGCAGCUGGAAAGAACUUCGGUCAGGGAUGAGCUCGCGGCCUAUCAGCUUGUUGGUUGGGUAACGGCUCACCAAGGCGUCGACGGGUAGCCGGCCUGGGAGGGUGACCGGCCACACUGGGACUGAGAGACGGCCCAGACUCCUACGGGAGGCAGCAGUGGGGAAUAUUGCACAAUGGGCGAAAGCCUGAUGCAGCAACGCCGCGUGAGGGACGACGGCCUGCGGGUUGUAAACCUCUUUUGGCAGGGAAGAAGCGAAAGUGACGGUACCUGCAGAAAAAGCGCCGGCUAACUACGUG